This is a long non-coding RNA of Salvelinus sp. IW2-2015, 1373 nucleotides long. RefSeq lists it as uncharacterized. Lineage: Eukaryota; Metazoa; Chordata; Actinopteri; Salmoniformes; Salmonidae. The record is from RefSeq and is a predicted model, not a curated record.
AAGCAUAUUUUUACUCCUGAACUUAUCUAGGCUUGCCAUAAAAGGGCUUUUCAUUUURUAUUAAUUUGUKAAAUUUAGAAAAACAAUUCKACUUUGACAUUAUGGGGUAUUGUGUAUAGGCCAGUGACACAAAAUCUCAAUUGAAUCCAUUAUAAAUUCAGGCUGUAACACAAGAAAAUGUGGAAAAAYUAAAGGUGUGUCAAUACUUUGAAGGCAAUGUACACAGUGACACUMGCUUUCCCUUCCUAAAGUGUCACUACAUUUACUUCCCUACUAAAUUGGAGUACAUCACUUUAACUUCUAGUAUGUAUUGAGAUGUUUGGAUGGACCUUAAAGUCCUCAGGUUGUGGUGGUCAUGUACUGUAUCCUCGGUCGACUACAYAGUAUUUUGAAUAUGGCAGGGAAACUGACUGUGCUGUAUGUAUUUUUGAACAAUGACAUAACAAUGUAAUCUGCCUUGUUUAGAGUGGUUUACCAGAUGGCUUCCAUGGAGUUUCUCAACCUCCACCAAAUAGGGAAUUGCCAUUGACAGCAAGUAAACAACCAGAACACCAACUGCCGCCAAUGUAAACAUCUUAAGGUAGCAAGCGUCUCUGCUACAUUCAAAACCACGGCUGCAGUUGUCAGGCUCGGUUUGAGGUCAUAAAGCAUCCAGMGKCGGGUGGAAAUGAAGACCACACAGCUUGAAGAGAUCAGGUUGAAGAGAGAGGACAUAUUUAACUUGUCUCUGGCAGGCAGCAGUGUCAAGUUGGAGGGAGGCUUGGUGGUCUGUGUGUGACAUGGAGAAGGGCCCACCGGCACRGCAGCAGCCCCGCUGAGGCCAGGUCUACAGCUGUCCCACCCUGCCAGGGCCUCUGCUUACAGUCACUAUCAAUCCAGCUGAUCCAGCAGCAGCCCCACCUUGACCUGACAGAUCAACAAUGCUCUCUGUCUCUCCAUUAUUGGCCAGAUGUUUGGACACAGCUUGUAGCAGGGUGAUGAGGCCAGAACUGAUAUUGGAUUUCAUAGCCCUAUAAUGCUAUAGUCCAAUCAUUGAAAUGCUUUACUUUAGAACAAAAGCUUUUGCUAAUUAAAUCAAUAAAAUUGUCUUGUUUGUUCUACAGCAAGGAGAACAUCCCCUGAAGGUGUGUGUGUGUGUUUGUAUCUAGUGUAGUCACGGGUGUUGUGUGUGUGUGUGUGUGUGUGUGUGUGUGUGUGUGUGUGUGUGUGCAUAUGUGUUCAUGCAUGUAUGUGUAUGUGUCUGAAUGUAAUACAGAAUCUCAUGCAACAAUCACAGGAUGGAAUGCUCCUUGGUCCACAGGAGAGGAUGGAUGGAGAGAAGAUGGAUGGAGACUAAAGAUGGAUGGAUAGAGGAUAGAGACUAGAGAUGGAUG